UGGGGAAUAUUGCACAAUGGAGGGAACUCUGCUGCAGCGACGCCGCGUGAACGAAGAAGGCUUUCGAGUCGUAAAGUUCUUUUAUAUGGGAAUAUAAUGACGGUACCAUAAGAAAAAGCCCCGGCUAACUACGUGCCAGCAGCCGCGGUAAUACGUAGGGGGCUAGCGUUGUCCGGAAUCACUGGGCGUAAAGGGUUCGCAGGCGGAAAUGCAAGUCAGGUGUAAAAGGCAGUAGCUUAACUACUGUAAGCAUUUGAAACUGCAUAUCUUGAGAAGAGUAGAGGUAAGUGGAAUUUUUAGUGUAGCGGUGAAAUGCGUAGAUAUUAAAAAGAAUACCGGUGGCGAAGGCGACUUACUGGGCUCAUUCUGACGCUGAGGAACGAAAGCGUGGGUAGCAAACAGG
This 403-nucleotide ribosomal RNA is filed under the name Fusobacteriota bacterium. Its description in RNAcentral is "Fusobacteria bacterium partial 16S ribosomal RNA". It matches the Rfam family "Bacterial small subunit ribosomal RNA", at positions 355 to 776 of the family's 1533-position model. Lineage: Bacteria; Fusobacteriati; Fusobacteriota. The record is from RNAcentral.